This 456-nucleotide ribosomal RNA is filed under the name uncultured bacterium. RNAcentral's name for it is "bacterial SSU rRNA". It matches the Rfam family "Bacterial small subunit ribosomal RNA", at positions 340 to 786 of the family's 1533-position model. The record is from RNAcentral.
UACGGAAGGCAGCAGUGGGGAAUAUUGCACAAUGGGCGAAAGCCUGAUGCAGCUAUGCCGCGUGUAUGAAGAAGGCCUUAGGGUUGUAAAGUACUUUCAUCGGGGAGGAAAAAACAAAACUAAUAAUUUUAUUUCUUGACGUUACCCGAAAAAGAAGCACCGGCUAACUCCGUGCCAGCAGCCGCGGUAAUACGGAGGGUGCUAGCGUUAAUCAGAAUUACUGGGCGUAAAGAGCACGUAGGUGGUUUUUUUAAGUCAGAUGUGAAAUCCCUGGGCUUAACCUGGAACUGCAUUUUGAAACUGAAAUACUAGAGUAUCGUAGAGGGAGGUAGAAUUCUAGGUGUAGCGGUGAAAUGCGUAGAUAUCUGGAGGAAUACCUGUGGCGAAAGCGGCCUCCUAAACGAAUACUGACACUGAGGUGCGAAAGCGUGGGGAGCGAAACAGGGAUUAGAUACC